AGUGAACGCUGGCGGUAGGCCUAACACAUGCAAGUCGAACGGCAGCACAGUAAGAGCUUGCUCUUACGGGUGGCGAGUGGCGGACGGGUGAGGAAUACAUCGGAAUCUACUUUUUCGUGGGGGAUAACGUCGGGAAACUUACGCUAAUACCGCAUACGACCUACGGGUGAAAGCAGGGGAUCUUCGGACCUUUCGCGAUUGAAUGAGCCGAUGUCGGAUUAGCUAGUUGGCGGGGUAAAGGCCCACCAAGGCGACGAUCCGUAGCUGGUCUGAGAGGAUGAUCAGCCACACUGGAACUGAGACACGGUCCAGACUCCUACGGGAGGCAGCAGUGGGGAAUAUUGGACAAUGGGCGCAAGCCUGAUCCAGCAAUACCGCGUGGGUGAAGAAGGCCUUCGGGUUGUAAAGCCCUUUUGUUGGGAAAGAAAAGCAGCAGGUUAAUACCCCGCUGUUCUGACGGUACCCAAAGAAUAAGCACCGGCUAACUUCGUG
This 492-nucleotide ribosomal RNA is filed under the name uncultured bacterium. Its description in RNAcentral is "partial 16S ribosomal RNA". It matches the Rfam family "Bacterial small subunit ribosomal RNA", at positions 29 to 507 of the family's 1533-position model. The record is from RNAcentral.